UAUGUAGGGUCCGAGCGUUGUCCGGAAUUAUUGGGCGUAAAGAGCUCGUAGGCGGUUUGUCGCGUCUGCUGUGAAAUCCCGAGGCUCAACCUCGGGCCUGCAGUGGGUACGGGCAGACUGGAGUGCGGUAGGGGAGAAUGGAAUUCCUGGUGUAGCGGUGGAAUGCGCAGAUAUCAGGAGGAACACCGAUGGCGAAGGCAGUUCUCUGGGCCGUAACUGACGCUGAGGAGCGAAAGCGUGGGGAGCGAACAGG
Molecule: ribosomal RNA, 253 nt
Filed under: uncultured bacterium
Lineage: Bacteria
Description: partial 16S ribosomal RNA
Rfam family: Bacterial small subunit ribosomal RNA
Source: RNAcentral